GAUGAAGAACGUAGCGAAAUGCGAUAAGUAGUGUGAAUUGCAGAAUUCAGUGAAUCAUCGAAUCUUUGAACGCACAUUGCGCCCCUUGGUAUCCCGAGGGGCAUGCCUGUUCGAGCGUCAUUUCACCACUCAAGCCUGGCUUGGUGUUGGGCGACGUCCCCUUUGGGGACGCGCCUCGAAACGCUCGGCGGCGUGGCACCGGCUUUAAGCGUAGCAGAAUCUUUCGCUUUGGAAGUCGGGGCCCCGUCUGCCGGAAGACCUACUCGCAAGGUUGACCUCGGAUCAGGCAGGGAUACCCGCUGAACCUAAGCAUAUCAAUAAGCGAGGA
Molecule: unclassified non-coding RNA, 328 nt
Filed under: soil metagenome
Description: partial contains 5.8S ribosomal RNA, internal transcribed spacer 2, and large subunit ribosomal RNA
Rfam family: 5.8S ribosomal RNA (bases 1-120)
Source: RNAcentral